CGGCGUUCAACUGGCGUGCCCGCGGGACGUCCUGCCGGUGAGCUCAGCCCGCGAGGGCGGCUCAACUUGAAAUCCCAUCGCGGUGCUCUUCAUUGAGUGUCGAGGUGGGCCGGCACGAUUACUUUUGAACAAAUUAGAGUGCUUAAAGCAGGCUAAAAUUUUGCCUGAAUACUGUGUAUAUGGAAUAAUGGAAUAGGACCUCGGUUCUAUUUUGUUGGUUUUCGGAACCCCGAGGUAAUGAUUAAUAGGAACGGAUGGGGGCAUUCGUAUUGCGACGUUAGAGGUGAAAUUCUUGGAUCGUCGCGAGACGGACUAAAGCGAAAGCAUUUGCCAAAAACGCUUUCAUUGAUCAAGAACGAAAGUUAGAGGUUCGAAGGCGAUCAGAUACCGCCCUAGUUCUAACCAUAAACUAUGCCAGCUAGCGAUCCGCCGACGUCCCUCUGAUGACUCGGCGGGCAGCUUCCGGGAAACCAAAGCUUUUGGGUUCCGGGGGAAGUAUGGUUGCAAAGCUGAAACUUAAAGGAAUUGACGGAAGGGCACCACCAGGAGUGGAGCCUGCGGCUUAAUUUGACUCAACACGGGAAACCUCACUAGGCCCAGACACUGGAAGGAUUGACAGAUUGAGAGCUCUUUCUUGAUUCAGUGGGUGGUGGUGCAUGGCCGUUCUUAGUCGGUGGAGCGAUUUGUCAGGUUAAUUCCGAUAACGGACGAGACUCUGACCUGAUAACUAGACGCACUUGCGGCAUCUCAAAGGUCCGCCGGCGGCUGGCUUUGCGCCCGUCGUCGCGCGCGAUUUUUACUGCCGGCGUACAAUAAAUUCUUCUAGAGGGACAAGUGG
This 838-nucleotide ribosomal RNA is filed under the name uncultured eukaryote. Its description in RNAcentral is "SSU rRNA". It matches the Rfam family "Eukaryotic small subunit ribosomal RNA", at positions 635 to 1426 of the family's 1831-position model. The record is from RNAcentral.